GCGUUACAUCCCCGCCUUCUGGAAAGCUGCGGAGGACUGAACAGGAAGGGCCGCGCCCCGGCCCGGCUCUUUGGCGCGAGGACACUGUCCUGCUGGCCCCGACCGGCGUCGUGUGCCGUCCAGAGCCACUGCGGAGUCGCCGUCGUGUGCCUGCCUCCUCUCUGCUGAUUCCACCCUGGGCCACCAGCGUGUGGCGGCGGGAGGUGUGCUGUGCCGCCCCGCAGCGUCCGCCGUCUGUGGUGGGCACACAGCGGCUUGGCCUCUCGUUCCUCUCAGAGCUGCCGGGGCCGGGGCACCUGGUGACAGCGCCUGUGGGCCUCGCACUGCCUGGCAGGCACCUGUGCCUUUCGAUGUUUUCUGUCUGGGGAGGAGCAGGGCGGGGCCUCUUUUCUAGGUCUUGGUCGCUGUCACGGACCCUGUGCUGGCGGUGGGUGGAGGCCAGCAGCCACACACCAGCCUCCCCAUCGGCCUCUUGGGCUUCCUGGCCUCCUUCACCUCUUGCCGAGGGGCCUUUGCACCUGCAGAGCCCGCGGUCACCAGGAGGCCCUCAGAUGCCAGCUGGGCCGUCCUCAUCCCUCACAGCCCCCACCCUGGCGUUCUGCAGCACGGAGCCAUGAAUCGCUGCUGGGUGCAGUGGCUGAGGCCUGUCGUCCUGACACUCUGGGAGGCUGAGGCAGGAGGACUGCAAGUUCUAGCUCAGCCUGGCCAGCUUAGUCAGACCCUGUCUCACACAAGUAAAGAUCUGCGGGUGCAGCUCCGCUCAAAGGCCUGGGUUCCAUCCUCAGCAGUGCAGUAAGAAAGGAGCCGCUGCCUUCACGGACAGCACCCUUCCCUCCCUCCCUCCACGCCCAAGGCCCCAUCCCUCCAGCCUUGUCCCUGUCCCCCGCCUGCAAGGUCAGAGUGCUGGGCAGCGUCCCCGCCCAGGGGUCCUGGCCACCCAUUCCCACCUGCCCUGAGGGACACUUGGGGCUUAGGGACAGGCCAGCCAGCACCUGAGGGUGCAGAGGCGGGGACAGGAGGUGGGUGUCGCUGUGUCUCCCGGCCCGGUCUCUGCAUGCGGGUCUCAAUCUCACCUCCACCCGUGCCCCACGCCCCACAGCAACUGCUCUCCCCAGCUCCGAGCGUGACUGUCUGGGUGCAGAGGACACUCACGGGGCUGUGCAGCCCUCCCGCCAUGGGGCGCUGGGGUUUGAUGCUGCCCAACGGCAGCCGCAUCACUAUGGAGCAAGAUACUGGGAGGCCCUCCCCCACCGGUCCCUUACCUACUUCCUGUGUGUGUCUGGACCCCUAGCAGCCUCCAGGCCCCAGAGAGGGAGGUGGGCCCUCUGCUGGAGGACCCCCAAAGUCCUGUGCAAAGGCCCUGUGGCCAGAGUGGAGCUUGCCAGGGCUGAGAAGGCCAGCAUGCCCCUGUGGUGCUGCCCACCCUGCCAGGCAUCGGGGCCUCCCAUUGGCUAUCCUCAGUGGGUGCUGGAUGAUUGACAGCCCCAGCCAGGCCAGGCGGGACUCACGCCUGCAGUGACCAGUGCUGCACGGGGCCUGGCUGCCCCUUCCCUGCACGUCACUCACGGGUGACCUAACAGGGCCUUGGAGACUUCUGAGGGUGACUUUGUUUUUCUCUCUCCAGCAGGAAGGCUGUGGGUGACCUCACAGGGCAGACAGCGGCUUAGACCAAGCAGCGAUGGGAGUGACCGGCCACCAGGGCCGUGGGAGCCGGCUGAGGGCUCAGUGACCACCUGGCAUGCAGGGCCACGUUAGCUGCUGCUGCUGGCUCCACUGUGGCCCUUUGGCUUGAGCAGUUAUGUAUCUACCAGAGUGGGCGGCAGAGGAAAAAUGAAAUCGCAUGCUCACAGCGCUGUGCAACCUCACACCAGCUGCUCAGCCUCUCUGGGCCUCGGAGGGGGGAGCCACGGUCCAUGUGUCCCUUGGCUUGCGGACAGUCCCUCCAUGUCCGCCUCCAACGCAACAAUGGUCACGUGGCAUCCUCUCCAGUGCAUCUCUGCCAACAUUUCCCUCUUCUCUCUGGGAGGCUGAGGCAGGAGGAUGGAAGCCCCCGCCCAAGAGUGGAGCCCACAUCUAAGCAGGCAGACUGAGGAGCAGAGAAAGAGCCCGUUCCUGCUGAUUGUGAGUGCCUGGAUCCAGCUGUUCCUGAAGCUGCAUAUCCCCGACCUGCUCAGCCCGGGACCCUGGAAUGACCCAUUCCCCGGGCAGGCCCCUCACGCCUCAGCCUCGCCUCCUGUCUUCUCUCCACGCCGUUCCCAGUCAGCCGCGCUGGCCCAGCCGGAGAUACAUCCUAAUGUAUACUUAACAGAGGCUCAAAAUCGAAUUAAUUUAGAUUGGUUAAUAAACUGUA
This is a long non-coding RNA of Chinchilla lanigera (long-tailed chinchilla), 2350 nucleotides long. RefSeq lists it as uncharacterized. NCBI's taxonomy places the organism in Eukaryota, Metazoa, Chordata, Mammalia, Rodentia, Chinchillidae. The transcript is spliced from 3 exons. The record is from RefSeq and is a predicted model, not a curated record.